UUUUUCCUACGGGGGGCAGCAGUGGGGAAUAUUGGGCAAUGGGCGAAAGCCUGACCCAGCAACGCCGCGUGAAGGAAGAAGGCUUUCGGGUUGUAAACUUCUUUUGACAGGGAAGAGCAGAAGACGGUACCUGUCGAAUAAGCCACGGCUAACUACGUGCCAGCAGCCGCGGUAAUACGUAGGUGGCAAGCGUUGUCCGGAUUUACUGGGUGUAAAGGGCGGGCAGCCGGGAGUG
RNAcentral lists this ribosomal RNA (235 nucleotides) under uncultured bacterium. RNAcentral's name for it is "partial 16S ribosomal RNA". It matches the Rfam family "Bacterial small subunit ribosomal RNA", at positions 333 to 583 of the family's 1533-position model. The record is from RNAcentral.